AGUGAACGCUGGCGGUAGGCCUAACACAUGCAAGUCGAACGGCAGCACAGUAAGAGCUUGCUCUUACGGGUGGCGAGUGGCGGACGGGUGAGGAAUACAUCGGAAUCUACCUUUUCGUGGGGGAUAACGUAGGGAAACUUACGCUAAUACCGCAUACGACCUACGGGUGAAAGCAGGGGAUCUUCGGACCUUGCGCGAUUGAAUGAGCCGAUGUCGGAUUAGCUAGUUGGCGGGGUAAAGGCCCACCAAGGCGACGAUCCGUAGCUGGUCUGAGAGGAUGAUCAGCCACACUGGAACUGAGACACGGUCCAGACUCCUACGGGAGGCAGCAGUGGGGAAUAUUGGACAAUGGGCGCAAGCCUGAUCCAGCCAUACCGCGUGGGUGAAGGAGGCCUUCGGGUUGUAAAGCCCUUUUGUUGGGAAAGAAAAGCAGCAGGUUAAUACCCCGCUGUUCUGACGGUACCCAAAGAAUAAGCACCGGCUAACUUCGUG
RNAcentral lists this ribosomal RNA (492 nucleotides) under uncultured bacterium. RNAcentral's name for it is "partial 16S ribosomal RNA". It matches the Rfam family "Bacterial small subunit ribosomal RNA", at positions 29 to 507 of the family's 1533-position model. The record is from RNAcentral.